RNAcentral lists this ribosomal RNA (253 nucleotides) under uncultured bacterium. RNAcentral describes it as "partial 16S ribosomal RNA". It matches the Rfam family "Bacterial small subunit ribosomal RNA", at positions 524 to 776 of the family's 1533-position model. The record is from RNAcentral.
UACGUAGGGGGCAAGCGUUGUCCGGAAUCAUUGGGCGUAAAGAGCGUGUAGGCGGCUCGGUAAGUCCGCUGUGAAAGUCCAGGGCUCAACCCUGGAAUGCCGGUGGAAACUGUCGAGCUAGAGUCCGGAAGAGGCGAGUGGAAUUCCUGGUGUAGCGGUGAAAUGCGCAGAUAUCAGGAAGAACACCAAUGGCGAAAGCAGCUUUCUGGGACGGUACUGACGCUGAGACGCGAAAGCGUGGGGAGCGAACAGG